Molecule: long non-coding RNA, 996 nt
Organism: Macrobrachium nipponense
Lineage: Eukaryota; Metazoa; Arthropoda; Malacostraca; Decapoda; Palaemonidae
Exons: 5
Source: RefSeq, a predicted model, not a curated record
CAGUGAAUUUGUGUGGAGCAGGAACUGAAGAACCCGGGAUAUUAAAAAUUUCCAACCACCGUUUGUACCCUGUUGAACUGUCACUAUCAUCGCAUAAGUUUACCAUCGCCAUUACGCAGAUCGGUAUAUUGCAGUUAUCGAGGAUGUUUAAUGAUGAAAAAACAAAAUCUCAUCUCGAGUGUGACUUCGUAAUUAACGGGUUGCCAAACAGGAGCAGCCUGUGCCGACAUAUAGCUAACUUAAACUACAUUAUCAAGCGCCUUCUCUCGAGUAAAGAUCUUCGACAAGGCGAGGAAAAUCUAUAUAUGAAGCAUAGUAUCCUUAAACAGGUAUCCAGUGAGUUUGGUCAGCACCUCCUAUAUUAUUGAUUCGAGCAUUCAAGUUUGAUUACGGAAUCAAACUUGAGACUUAACUACUAGAAGGGGCAAGGUUGGCUGUGCGGAAGUUGGAGGAUCCGAGGAUGGUUGAAGUUAAUUGGAGUAAACUGCGAAUGACGCAGUUAGGACAGUGUCUUUUUUGCGGAGUGGGUAGCUGUCAGUCUGUCUCACCGAAAUCAUUACUAUACACCCCACUUUGGGUAUGCCCUUUGGCAGUUUUUUUUUUUUUUUCUUGGGAAGACUUCGUUGAAGGGGUUAACUGUACGUUAACGUAACUUGUGUACCAGUCGUUAUUUGUUUAGAAAAUUGCCAGGAAAAUGCUAAAUAUUUCAAAAAUAUAUGCAAAAUUUUUUUCUGAAGUUUUGUAAAAAUGUUUAUCCAAUAGGGAAAAUUAUUUCCUUCAACUUCCUUAGCGGAAAUUAAACACUUUUUGAAAAAUUGAGUCAAGAAAUGUUUCGAAUGAAAAUUAACUACCCUGGAUUACUGAUUAAUGUUCUUUAUUUCUUUAGAAAACUACUUCCCUCUAUUGACGGUGACUAACUUUUCUCGUUGGAAGACUUGAAUCUACUUCAAAACUAAUCUUCUCUGGAAAGCGGACUUCAUUCUCCUCCUCCUUAAC